UUAACCCGAUUUUGUAUGCAGUUGGAACGUUUGCUUACGUUUGCCGCUAGGGGCGCUGUUCCAACUCCAUACAAAUUUGAGUUA
Molecule: microRNA precursor, 84 nt
Filed under: Bombyx mori (domestic silkworm)
Lineage: Eukaryota; Metazoa; Arthropoda; Insecta; Lepidoptera; Bombycidae
Description: mir-2807 microRNA precursor family
Rfam family: mir-2807 microRNA precursor family
Source: Rfam by way of RNAcentral